RNAcentral lists this long non-coding RNA (469 nucleotides) under Nicotiana benthamiana. RNAcentral's name for it is "long non-coding RNA (NBEN_LNC013752)". Lineage: Eukaryota; Viridiplantae; Streptophyta; Magnoliopsida; Solanales; Solanaceae. The record is from RNAcentral.
CGGAUUCGCAAAUGUGUGUUCUCGGGUUAUGGAUUUAACAUAGUCUAAAUAGAUUCGGCAAGAGAUUGCGCGGCAUAAGACUCUCUCGACCUCUUUUGCCCAUACUGAAAUUCCAGGACAUUCAUGAAUCUACUCGAGCUCUUUGGCAGUAUUAAGAUCCCCUACCCACCUUUCAUGUAAAAAGAAAAAGGCGACUCGCCAAUGUCAAUCUUAUGGUUCUAAGGGCAAGUACCUCCUACUAAACGUCCUUAUUGAAAACGAAAGCGACACCCCUUGCUGAGAUAAGAUUCCAUAAAGCAGACCACUUUUUCCUUGGGCCGUAGAGAAUAAAACAUCCUUUCCCCCGGAAAAGAGGAUAAGAAUCUGAUGUCGAAGAGGGAUCUAAUUUUCCUUCAAUUAAUUAAGCCAAGUAGUGGCUCUUUCCCGACCGGAUGUUAUCUAAAUCCCUAAAAGUCUCAGUCGCAAGCAA